This 508-nucleotide ribosomal RNA is filed under the name uncultured bacterium. RNAcentral's name for it is "partial 16S ribosomal RNA". It matches the Rfam family "Bacterial small subunit ribosomal RNA", at positions 30 to 523 of the family's 1533-position model. The record is from RNAcentral.
AUUGAACGCUGGCGGCAUGCCUUACACAUGCAAGUCGAACGGCAGCGGGGGAGAAGCUUGCUUUUCCUGCCGGCGAGUGGCGAACGGGUGAGUAAUACAUCGGAACGUGCCCUGUAGUGGGGGAUAACUAGUCGAAAGAUUAGCUAAUACCGCAUACGACCUGAGGGUGCAAGUGGGGGACCGCAAGGCCUCAUGCUAUAGGAGCGGCCGAUGUCUGAUUAGCUAGUUGGUGGGGUAAAGGCCUACCAAGGCGACGAUCAGUAGCUGGUCUGAGAGGACGAUCAGCCACACUGGGACUGAGACACGGCCCAGACUCCUACGGGAGGCAGCAGUGGGGAAUUUUGGACAAUGGGCGAAAGCCUGAUCCAGCAAUGCCGCGUGUGUGAAGAAGGCCUUCGGGUUGUAAAGCACUUUUGUCCGGAAAGAAGUGGCUCUGGUCAAUACCUGGGGUCGAUGACGGUACCGGAAGAAUAAGGACCGGCUAACUACGUGCCAGCCGCCGCAGUAA